Molecule: non-coding RNA, 605 nt
Organism: Lonchura striata (white-rumped munia)
Lineage: Eukaryota; Metazoa; Chordata; Aves; Passeriformes; Estrildidae
Source: RefSeq, a predicted model, not a curated record
UCAAUAACGUGUAGCGCAUACGUUUUUCUCUCAGCUAGAAAGCACCUUCCUUAAGAAAGGCUUUUAAAAUAUUCAAUGUAAACUACUGAAGAUACUCAUAUUAAGUAGUACUCCCCAAGCUAUGGCCUACAGAAUGGCUCCUUUCCACUGAAGUUUUGAGAAGAGAAAACCAUAAGAAAACAGUACUAAGCAAGCUGUUGGACUGCUAACUUACAGUGUCAAGAAACUGGCAGGACCCUACAGCUUUAUGAAGUGGAGAGACAGGAUGCUGUGACACAAGACCAGACCUCGUAGCACACUUGGCUAAGUGACAAGACUGUACUUGCUGAUGAACAUACUUCACUGCAUCUAAAUAAUCUACAGGUACAGAAGGAUUAUGAAAAUCCUGUCUGUCUCUCCCUGAUGUGUCUGACUCAGUAACUGGGGAAGAAGUGUCUUCUAUCAAUCAAUGACAGAAAGUGCUGAAUCUGAAAAUGCUGACUGAGCACCAUGGAGGGCAGUCAGGUUUCUGAUAGCAGUCAAGGGAAGUCAAAAAAUUUCAAUAUGAGUGUUAAAUGCCUUUUCAAAAGAUAUUCAAAGAUUAAUCAGGAAGAAAAAAAUCAUAC